Schistosoma rodhaini is the source of this 45-nucleotide non-coding RNA. The record is from Rfam. NCBI's taxonomy places the organism in Eukaryota, Metazoa, Platyhelminthes, Trematoda, Strigeidida, Schistosomatidae.
AUCCAUCUGACGAGUCCCAAAUAAAACGAAAUGCAUGUCCUGGAU